UACGUAGGUCCCAAGCGUUGUCCGGAUUUAUUGGGCGUAAAGCGAGCGCAGGUGGUUUAAUAAGUCUGAUGUAAAAGGCAGUGGCUCAACCAUUGUAUGCAUUGGAAACUGUUAGACUUGAGUACAGUAGAGGAGAGUGGAAUUCCAUGUGUAGCGGUGAAAUGCGUAGAUAUAUGGAGGAACACCGGUGGCGAAAGCGGCUCUCUGGACUGUGACUGACACUGAGGCUCGAAAGCGUGGGUAGCAAACAGG
This 252-nucleotide ribosomal RNA is filed under the name uncultured bacterium. Its description in RNAcentral is "partial 16S ribosomal RNA". It matches the Rfam family "Bacterial small subunit ribosomal RNA", at positions 524 to 776 of the family's 1533-position model. The record is from RNAcentral.